AUGUCAGGAAUAAAGAAGAUCCAUAACCAGCUAGCAUAUAAUAUUGAAGCUUACAUAAAUGGCACAAAAUAUAUAAUAGAUGAAAUUACAAUAAGAGAUUUGUCAGUAAUAAAUGAUGACAUGAUAAUAGGGUUAAGAUUUUUACAACAAUCUUUACAAACCACAAUCAUACAUGAAGAGGGGGUAACAUUUAUUCCUUAUCAAGAUAAUGUUCCGUACAUAUCUGAAGUGCGAAAACAAAGAAAGUCCUUACAAAACGUAGAAAUAUCUAAUUUAGAUGAUGAAUAUAGCACAAGUCCAGAUCCCCUUGAAUUCUGUAAAGACGAAGAACUUAGUGAGACCAUAGAAGAAUAUCAUAUAGAAAAUACAUGUACUAAAUGCAUUGGGUUGCAAUCAUUCUCUCCAAAUUGGUAUAGAGAUAUAAAAUCUAAAAAGGAUAUAGAUAAGAUUGUGCAAAGACUAGAAAGUAUACAAAUUAUUGGAGAAAUACCAAUGAAACAUUGGGAUAAGAACUCUAUAGUUUGCAAAAUAAAUAUCAUAAAUCCAGAUUAUAUAAUUAAGUCAGGACCAAUAGAAGCAACUCCUAAAGAUAUCGAAGAGUUCAAAAUGCAUAUUGAAGAGUUAUUAAAGUUAAAAGCUAUAAGAGAAAGCAGAAGCCCUCAUCGAUCUGCUGCUUUUAUAGUUAGAAAUCAUGCUGAAGAAGUUAGAGGCCUAAAGAAUGCACCUGCACUAUUUCAAAGAAAGAUGCAAAAUAUAUUUAAUGAGAAUCAAGCAUUUAUAUUAGUAUACGUAGAUGAUUUGUUAGUAUUCUCAAAAUCAUACAAAGAGCAUAUAGCCCAUCUUGAAGUGUUCUUUCGAAAGGUAGAACAAAAUGGGCUCAUACUAUCUAAAAAGAAGAUGGAGAUUUGCAAAGAGAAAAUAAAUUUAUUUGGUCAUGAAAUAGGAGAAGGAAAAAUAUAUCUACAAGAACAUAUUGCAAAGAAAAUAUUAGAGUUUCCUGAUAAUAUGAGUGAUAAAAAGGUUUUACAACAGUUCUUAGGAAUUGUAAACUAUGCGCGAAACUAUAUAGAUAGCUUAGCAAAGCUAGCAGGACCUUUAUAUGCUAAAUUAAGAAAAAAUGGUCAAAGAUACUUCAAUUCUGAAGAUAUAAAAUUAGUAAAGGCCAUCAAGGAAAAGGUCAGGAAUUUAAAACCCCUAGAAUUGCCUCUAGAAGACAAUUAUUUUAUAAUUGAGACAGAUGCAUCUAAGGUAGGAUGGGGUGCGAUACUAAAACAAAAGCCCAAUAAAUACUCUCCAAAGGCAGACGAAAAAAUAUGCAGAUAUGCUUCAGGAAGUUACAAAUUAAAGACGGUAAAUAAUAUUGAUAGAGAAAUUCUUGCAGUUUUAAAUGCAAUAAAUGCAUUUAGGUUAUAUCUAGGAUUGAAAGAAUUUACAGUAUGA
This 1440-nucleotide ribosomal RNA is filed under the name Triticum aestivum (bread wheat). Its description in RNAcentral is "partial small subunit ribosomal RNA". Lineage: Eukaryota; Viridiplantae; Streptophyta; Magnoliopsida; Poales; Poaceae. The record is from RNAcentral.